UGAAAACUUCGGAAGGGUUUCUGAGGCUCAGACGCAACCGAUCUACUGGUUCCAGUAUAUUUAUUCUAAAGAAAAACAGUACAAGGAGAGUGGAAAGAAAUUUUGAAAACAGAUCGGAAGGCCCAAAGCAAUAUACCGAGAAUCUCUUCAUGCCUCGCAUGCCGAUCCGAGGCCAAUAUCGAGAUCCAGCAUUGGAAGAGACAGUUAUUUUGUUUCGAGUCUAAGGAAAGCCAAGAGCUAAUAGUUUUUGUCAAACUUCCGGUGAAAAAAUGCUGCUGAAAACAUUUGCCAAAGUUAUGACAAGCCAAGCCUUUGCAACUGGAUGAAUAAAAAUUUUAACAAAUCAAAUUUGAAGAUUAAAUAAAUAUUAACCCUUUUCAAAAUGACAUUAUGACAGAUUCCAACAGAAUAUCAUUUGUUAACACAUUGGCGAAAUGUGAUUAUUCAAUAAAUUUUUCGUCCUUUUGACUACCGCAUUUUUAUACUUACCUGGCAUAGGGGUUACCGUGAUCAGACUAACACAUUUUUUCUAAAGCCAAGUGUUCAAACGAAACUUGACUAAUUGUAGAUUUGUCCACGAUCCUGAAAGUUCUACGAUAAUUAUAUUGCCCUUUGAAUUGCAUCAACAUUUUUCAUCG
This is a long non-coding RNA of Uranotaenia lowii, 638 nucleotides long. RefSeq lists it as uncharacterized. Lineage: Eukaryota; Metazoa; Arthropoda; Insecta; Diptera; Culicidae. The record is from RefSeq and is a predicted model, not a curated record. The transcript has 3 exons.